Molecule: ribosomal RNA, 695 nt
Filed under: uncultured Propionibacterium sp.
Lineage: Bacteria; Bacillati; Actinomycetota; Actinomycetes; Propionibacteriales; Propionibacteriaceae
Description: bacterial SSU rRNA
Rfam family: Bacterial small subunit ribosomal RNA
Source: RNAcentral
AACCGGAUUAGAUACCCUGGUAGUCCACGCUGUAAACGGUGGGUACUAAGGUGUGGGGUCCAUUCCACGGGUUCCGUGCCGUAGCUAACGCUUUAAGUACCCCGCCUGGGGAGUACGGCCGCAAGGCUAAAACUCAAAGGAAUUGACGGGGCCCCGCACAAGCGGCGGAGCAUGCGGAUUAAUUCGAUGCAACGCGUAGAACCUUACCUGGGUUUGACAUGGAUCGGGAGCGCUCAGAGAUGGGUGUGCCUCUUUUGGGGUCGGUUCACAGGUGGUGCAUGGCUGUCGUCAGCUCGUGUCGUGAGAUGUUGGGUUAAGUCCCGCAACGAGCGCAACCCUUGUUCACUGUUGCCAGCACGUUAUGGUGGGGACUCAGUGGAGACCGCCGGGGUCAACUCGGAGGAAGGUGGGGAUGACGUCAAGUCAUCAUGCCCCUUAUGUCCAGGGCUUCACGCAUGCUACAAUGGCUGGUACAGAGAGUGGCGAGCCUGUGAGGGUGAGCGAAUCUCGGAAAGCCGGUCUCAGUUCGGAUUGGGGUCUGCAACUCGACCUCAUGAAGUCGGAGUCGCUAGUAAUCGCAGAUCAGCAACGCUGCGGUGAAUACGUUCCCGGGGCUUGUACACACCGCCCGUCAAGUCAUGAAAGUUGGUAACACCCGAAGCCGGUGGCCUAACCGUUGUGGGGGAGCCGUCGAA